This 404-nucleotide ribosomal RNA is filed under the name uncultured bacterium. RNAcentral's name for it is "bacterial SSU rRNA". It matches the Rfam family "Bacterial small subunit ribosomal RNA", at positions 355 to 776 of the family's 1533-position model. The record is from RNAcentral.
UGGGGAAUAUUGGACAAUGGGGGAAACCCUGAUCCAGCAAUGCCGCGUGAGUGAUGAAGGCCUUAGGGUUGUAAAACUCUUUCGCCCACGACGAUGAUGACGGUAGUGGGAGAAGAAGCCCCGGCUAACUUCGUGCCAGCAGCCGCGGUAAUACGAAGGGGGCUAGCGUUGUUCGGAAUUACUGGGCGUAAAGCGCACGUAGGCGGCGCAGCAAGUUAGAUGUGAAAUGCCUGGGCUUAACCUAGGAACUGCAUUUAAGACUGCUGUGCUAGAGACCGGGAGAGGGUGGCGGAAUUCCCAGUGUAGAGGUGAAAUUCGUAGAUAUUGGGAAGAACACCGGUUGCGAAGGCGGCCACCUGGACCGGCACUGACGCUGAGGUGCGAAAGCGUGGGGAGCAAACAGG